Molecule: non-coding RNA, 73 nt
Organism: Stegodyphus mimosarum
Lineage: Eukaryota; Metazoa; Arthropoda; Arachnida; Araneae; Eresidae
Source: Rfam
GCCUUCGUGGUGUAGUGGUCUGCAUGCUCGACACGCAACCGAGAGGUCCGUGGUUCGAUUCUCGUCGAAGGCA